Molecule: transfer RNA, 56 nt
Filed under: Versteria mustelae
Lineage: Eukaryota; Metazoa; Platyhelminthes; Cestoda; Cyclophyllidea; Taeniidae
Description: tRNA-Arg
Source: RNAcentral
UGUAUAUAUAAAACUUAUGUUACGGCCAUAAGAAUGAUAUUACGUAUCAUAUACUU